Molecule: ribosomal RNA, 749 nt
Filed under: uncultured bacterium
Lineage: Bacteria
Description: bacterial SSU rRNA
Rfam family: Bacterial small subunit ribosomal RNA
Source: RNAcentral
AUUGAACGCUGGCGGCAGGCCUAACACAUGCAAGUCGAGCGGAUGACGGGAGCUUGCUCCUUGAUUCAGCGGCGGACGGGUGAGUAAUGCCUAGGAAUCUGCCUGGUAGUGGGGGACAACGUUUCGAAAGGAACGCUAAUACCGCAUACGUCCUACGGGAGAAAGCAGGGGACCUUCGGGCCUUGCGCUAUCAGAUGAGCCUAGGUCGGAUUAGCUAGUUGGUGGGGUAAUGGCUCACCAAGGCGACGAUCCGUAACUGGUCUGAGAGGGUGAUCAGUCACACUGGAACUGAGACACGGUCCAGACUCCUACGGGAGGCAGCAGUGGGGAAUAUUGGACAAUGGGCGAAAGCCUGAUCCAGCCAUGCCGCGUGUGUGAAGAAGGUCUUCGGAUUGUAAAGCACUUUAAGUUGGGAGGAAGGGCAGUAAGCUAAUACCUUGCUGUUUUGACGUUACCGACAGAAUAAGCACCGGCUAACUCUGUGCCAGCAGCCGCGGUAAUACAGAGGGUGCAAGCGUUAAUCGGAAUUACUGGGCGUAAAGCGCGCGUAGGUGGUUUGUUAAGUUGGAUGUGAAAGCCCCGGGCUCAACCUGGGAACUGCAUCCAAAACUGGCAAGCUAGAGUACGGUAGAGGGUGGUGGAAUUUCCUGUGUAGCGGUGAAAUGCGUAGAUAUAGGAAGGAACACCAGUGGCGAAGGCGACCACCUGGACUGAUACUGACACUGAGGUGCGAAAGCGUGGGGAGCAAA